RNAcentral lists this ribosomal RNA (468 nucleotides) under uncultured bacterium. RNAcentral describes it as "partial 16S ribosomal RNA". It matches the Rfam family "Bacterial small subunit ribosomal RNA", at positions 28 to 507 of the family's 1533-position model. The record is from RNAcentral.
GACGAACGCUGGCGGCGUGCUUAACACAUGCAAGUCGAACGGAAAGGCCCUGCUUUUGUGGGGUGCUCGAGUGGCGAACGGGUGAGUAACCCUUUAUUAACCUGCCCUUUACUUUGGGAUAACUUCAGGAAACUGGGUCUAAUACCGGAUAGGAGCUCCUUCUGCAUUGUGGGGGUUGGAAAUUUUCGGCGGUUGGGGAUGGACUCGCGGCUUAUCAGCUUGUUGUUGGGGUAGUGUCUUACCAAGGCUUUGACGGGUAGCCGGCCUGAGAGGGUUAACGGCGAAAUUGGGAAUGAGAUACGGACCAGACGCCUACGGGAGGCAGCAGUGGGGAAUAGUGCAAAAUGGGCGGAAGCCUGAUGCAGCAACGCCGCGGGCGGGAUGACGGACUUCGGGUUGUAAACCGCUUUCGACUGUGAAGAAGCGGGAGUGACGGUAAUGGGUAAAGAAGCACCGGCUAACUACGUG